RNAcentral lists this long non-coding RNA (663 nucleotides) under Homo sapiens (human). RNAcentral describes it as "HSALNT0270650". Lineage: Eukaryota; Metazoa; Chordata; Mammalia; Primates; Hominidae. The record is from RNAcentral.
CUCUUUCUCUUGGAGACAGAGAUGCUCUGAACAACUGUGGACCUUGUGCUUAUGUCUUUUCCCUUCUCUUUCUCUUGGAGACAGAGAUGUAACCCAUUGCUCCACUAUGUUGGAACCAGAAUGUCCAAAUUAGCACUUGAGGUUCUGCAUGAAAGAGGAAAUAGCAGAAAGCGGGGAUAGAGUCAUAGACCACACGGGCAGGACGUCCCUUUGACCUAGGAGGGCCCUGGGCAGCUGGGCACUGGGUGGUUAGAGCAGGGGUGGAGUCAUAGACCACACGGGCAGGACGUCCCUUUGACCUAGGAGGGCCCUGGGCAGCUGGGCACUGGGUGGUUAGAGCAGGGGUGGAGUCAGACCACACGGGCAGGACGUCCCUUUGAUCUAGGAGGGCUCUGGGCAGCUGGGCACUGGGUGGUUAGAGCAGGGGUGGAGUCAUAGACCACACGGGCAGGGCAUCCCUUUGAUCUAGGAGGGCCCUGGGCAGCUGGGCACUGGGUGGUUAGGUGGUUGUUCUGAUGGUCAAGAGGGAGAACAGCAUGAGCCCUGCCCCAGGCAGAGGCACGGGCUACAUGAGGACCUCCAGGGGGUGUUGCUCACUCCUAUCAGGUAGCAGGGUCACUCCUGAAAGUUCUAGAACCAUGACUUAGCCAGCUGCAUCAUGUC